Equus caballus (horse) is the source of this 1185-nucleotide long non-coding RNA. The record is from Ensembl. Lineage: Eukaryota; Metazoa; Chordata; Mammalia; Perissodactyla; Equidae.
UUAGAUCGCUUUGGUAACAGCUGAUGGGAGGCAGGAGGUGGGAAAAGAAGGAGUUCCCCAAAAAGGAGAAGAGAGCUGUUCCCAUAAAAAGAGAAGAGUGGAAUGAAAUCCCAGCUAGAAUCAAACCUGCAGGACCAGAGGCAUGAAACCUGAGAGGUGAGGAAACUGAGGCGCAGAGUAUCUAAGGAAUUCACAGAGAAGAACUGAACAGAACAGGCAGAUGUUCAUACAGCACAGCCUGCUCAGCAUUCACAGUCUGAGAACAUUCCACUCUGCGAUUCUCUAAAUCCUUUUCCCAUCUCUCUCUUUUUCUUCGUGGAUUUUUAUCCUUUUACUGUGUACUUUCCCAUAUAACGUCCAGCACGGCAAUCUUUUUGCCUGUUUCUUUGUCCUUCUCCCCCAAUUGGCAGAGGAAUAAUCUCUAUCUGGCUGAGACGUCAAGCGCUGAAAAAUAUUGGCAUUCCUUAAAGAAGCAAUUUGUUUUCUUUUCUCAAAUGUAUCACGUGCGGUUAAGUGGCACUGACUUGUGCCCCAGCUGACCAAAUUUCACAGAGAUGGCCUGUCUGAGGCUAGAGGAUCUUUUGAGGAAUGGGUAUCUUCUCUAUGGAAAUAUCCCAAUUACCAUUUCUUGCGGGAAACACAGCAUCACCCCAGAGAUCUGUGGCCAUCAGGAAAAGUAACCAAGCUGAAGGGACAUCCAUCUCCAUUUCCAGUGGGGACACCACCAUCUUCUCUAACUUGUUCAUCUUGAGUGAUAGAAAACUUUAACUAAAUAAAUGAAAAAGGAUGGCAGAAAAUAAUCCACAGUGACUUAUGUAUCUUUCUCCAUCCAUAAAUAACUUUAUAUUUCACUUCUGGCAGCAGAGCUGAGCCAGAAGGUAAUGAGCCAUUGUGGAAAACCCAUCUGUUGCUCAUAAGGGGAAAGACCGGAUUUAUUGAGGAAGAAUCUGGAGCGAAGAAGAAAUAAAACUUAUAAGAAAAGAAAGGCUAUCAAAGUCAAGGAAGUCAGCAUGAGAUGACGGGUGGCAAUAAAGCAGAACAAAGACAGCCCCUGCUCUCAGAAUCAGGCAGAAGCAAUGUGGCGGCCGUGCAAGCAAAGGCAAGAGUAGGGCUCCAAAGGCACCAAGGGAGCACUCUUGCAUUUCCAUCUUCCACUAGGUUUCCAGAAAUAUCACCAAAUAAAAU